GUUUCUGCCAGAGGAAAGAAGUAUCAGGUACAUUUUGUCUUCCUCCUUGUGACCGGUUGACAUUUUGAUUGACUCUGAGGAAGGUAGGCCGGUUACCAAUAAAAAAGGGUUUACAAAAUUAGAUACCACAGAGGAAGGGGGGACAGCUGACCAGAGCACAAAGGUUAACAUUUUGAUUGACUCUGAGGAAGGUAGGACAGUGUACCAGAGCACAAAGGUUAACAUUUUUACUAUGAGGAAUGUGGCAAUGGGUCAGCUAACCAAUCACAAAGGUCAAUUCGUAGACGACACUGAGGAAAAGCAGGGUGGCAAGACAUUACACGGAAUAGAGAAAAAAGCCUUGGAUUUUAAAAAGGUAACAACCUGUGCAUUGUUCCAUCACAUUACAUAUAGGAUUGUCCUUUAGAGGAGAGAUGCACACUCCUGAUAUUAGGUUAUAACUUUCAUAGGACUGAGUAAUUUUCUUUAAAUUCUUGAAAUGUAAAAGCUUCCUGUAACUAUAUCUAUAGAUAUAGAUAUAUAGAUAAUGUUAGACAACAAAAGCAGUUCUUACCCUCCGCAUCCCCACUCUGAGCUCGUACUAUGAGUGGGAGCAGAAUCCAGGUGACCCACAAGGGCAUCUUUCCCUCUCUCUCUUUCUUCAUUGUCAGUGUAGAUAUUCACCUGCUAAACGCUGAUGAGGUAUAGGCCUAUACUUUAUACUUUGAGCAGCCAGCUAUGAUGCUUGUUCAGUCUCCGGUUCGGCCUAUCACUCCGAAGCUCAGAGGAAGGAGGGGGAGGGGCCUAUUUUGAGAACAAAGGACGUUUUUUUCUUUGUCGUACAGGAUGUUCAAGUGAACUGAAAACACCUUGUAGACAACAAUUGGUAGGCGUGUGCUUGUGUGUAUUUUUUUAAGCCACAGCGAGUUAGAGCUCAGAGUAAAUACUUUAUAAAAAACGUAAGCAUGUAUUUUUUUUUAAGACUAGAAGUCCCCCUCCCCCACUAAUCAAUCAUUUAAGGCACUUAAUGAUGAAUAAUUAAAUAUUCCCUAAUUAUUCCAACAUCCCUGAUCCUAUUUGACCACUCUACACUAUCUUCAGUACUUGAAGGUCUGGGAUUAAUUUGGAGAAAAAAAACUCUAUUUACGGUCUAUCAAACAAUUAAGUGUAGCCUUGUGUCUCUGUAAGCAUAGAGUCCUUGAAUUGUAACAAUCGAGUUUAAGAAUAUCCACGUACGCCGCCGCAACUUACACACCACUUCCUGUCGACUGUUUGUUUAUCUUGAAAUCAGGCCACUGAGAGAAACUUCCCGAUGAAAACAAUACUUCAGCCUGCUGUUCGCAACACAAUGAAACUGCAAUCAUGUUGAAUACCAUGUCAUGUCAUGAUGAUACACUAUGACUGAGGUCCACUAUAGCUUUCAGUUACCUGUGAGCUGUGUAUCUUCUCAUCAUUCAAUGAGGACAUCCAUUUGUUUUUUCAAAGUAAAAUCGAUAAAUAAUUUGUAAAUAAAGAAAUGUGUGAUGAACUAUG
Long non-coding RNA from Gadus morhua (Atlantic cod), 1512 nucleotides. RefSeq lists it as uncharacterized. The transcript is spliced from 2 exons. NCBI's taxonomy places the organism in Eukaryota, Metazoa, Chordata, Actinopteri, Gadiformes, Gadidae. The record is from RefSeq and is a predicted model, not a curated record.